GUCCGGGUGGCGGAAUGGCAGACGCGCUAGCUUGAGGUGCUAGUGCCCUUAGCGGGCGUGGGGGUUCAAGUCCCCCUCCGGACA
Molecule: transfer RNA, 84 nt
Filed under: Ornithinimicrobium sp.
Lineage: Bacteria; Bacillati; Actinomycetota; Actinomycetes; Micrococcales; Ornithinimicrobiaceae
Also listed under: 2 other names
Description: tRNA-Leu
Rfam family: tRNA
About the family: Transfer RNA (tRNA) molecules are approximately 80 nucleotides in length. Their secondary structure includes four short double-helical elements and three loops (D, anti-codon, and T loops). Further hydrogen bonds mediate the characteristic L-shaped molecular structure. tRNAs have two regions of fundamental functional importance: the anti-codon, which is responsible for specific mRNA codon recognition, and the 3' end, to which the tRNAs corresponding amino acid is attached (by aminoacyl-tRNA synthetases). tRNAs cope with the degeneracy of the genetic code in two manners: having more than one tRNA (with a specific anti-codon) for a particular amino acid; and 'wobble' base-pairing, i.e. permitting non-standard base-pairing at the 3rd anti-codon position.
Source: RNAcentral